CGGGUGAGUAAUACAUCGGAACGUGCCCAGUAGUGGGGGAUAACCCGGCGAAAGCCGGACUAAUACCGCAUACGACCUACGGGUGAAAGCAGGGGAUCGCAAGACCUUGCGCUAUCGGAGCGGCCGAUGUCAGAUUAGCUUGUUGGUGGGGUAAAAGCCCACCAAGGCGACGAUCUGUAGCUGGUCUGAGAGGACGACCAGCCACACUGGGACUGAGAUACGGCCCAG
This 228-nucleotide ribosomal RNA is filed under the name uncultured bacterium. RNAcentral's name for it is "partial 16S ribosomal RNA". It matches the Rfam family "Bacterial small subunit ribosomal RNA", at positions 103 to 334 of the family's 1533-position model. The record is from RNAcentral.